GGCUGAAACUCUUAUCUCUGUGAAAGCCAGAGAGCAGAAGUCAACUAUCUGUUCUCACUCUGCAAAUGUAGACAAAGAUGUGUCCUGCCCUGAAGAUCUGGUGGGCUAAUUCAUAGCUCCAACAUGAAUGGUACAUAUGUUCAAGAUAAAAUUGUCAAGCUUGAUGUUGUGAGUCAUCUCAACCAACGCCUACAAGUGGAUUCUGGCUGCCAGAGGAAUUACUUCGCACUGUGACAAAG
Molecule: long non-coding RNA, 239 nt
Filed under: Gallus gallus (chicken)
Lineage: Eukaryota; Metazoa; Chordata; Aves; Galliformes; Phasianidae
Source: RNAcentral